This 301-nucleotide ribosomal RNA is filed under the name uncultured bacterium. RNAcentral's name for it is "partial 16S ribosomal RNA". It matches the Rfam family "Bacterial small subunit ribosomal RNA", at positions 509 to 807 of the family's 1533-position model. The record is from RNAcentral.
CAGUAGCCGCGGUAAUACGUAGGUGGCAAGCGUUGUCCGGAAUUAUUGGGCGUAAAGGGCUCGCAGGCGGUUUCUUAAGUCUGGUGUGAAAGCCCCCGGCUCAACCGGGGAGGGUCAUUGGAAACUGGGAAACUUGAGUGCAGAAGAGGAGAGUGGAAUUCCACGUGUAGCGGUGAAAUGCGUAGAGAUGUGGAGGAACACCAGUGGCGAAGGCGACUCUCUGGUCUGUAACUGACGCUGAGGAGCGAAAGCGUGGGGAGCGAACAGGAUUAGAUACCCGCGUAGUCCCUGUCUCUUAUAC